AUUGAACGCUGGCGGUAUGCCUAACACAUGCAAGUCGAGCGAGUUGUAGCAAUACAGCUAGCGGCGGACGGGUGAGGAAUACAUAGGAAUUUGCCUUUAGGUGGGGGAUAGCCCAGGGAAACUUGGAGUAAUACCGCAUGAUCUCGUGAGAGCAAAGCCGGGGACCGCAAGGCCUGGCGCCUUUAGAGAAGCCUAUGUCGGAUUAGCUAGUUGGUGAGGUAAUGGCUCACCAAGGCGACGAUCCGUAACUGGUCUGAGAGGACGAUCAGUCACACUGGAACUGAGACACGGUCCAGACUCCUACGGGAGGCAGCAGUGGGGAAUAUUGGACAAUGGGCGAAAGCCUGAUCCAGCAAUACCGCGUGUGUGAAGAAGGCCUCG
RNAcentral lists this ribosomal RNA (381 nucleotides) under uncultured bacterium. RNAcentral's name for it is "bacterial SSU rRNA". It matches the Rfam family "Bacterial small subunit ribosomal RNA", at positions 30 to 419 of the family's 1533-position model. The record is from RNAcentral.